GGCUUGGUGGUCUAGUGGUAUGAUUCUCGCUUAGGGUGCGAGAGGUCCCGGGUUCAAUCCCCGGCCAAGCCC
Cladochytrium replicatum is the source of this 72-nucleotide non-coding RNA. The record is from the annotation of a GenBank genome assembly. NCBI's taxonomy places the organism in Eukaryota, Fungi, Chytridiomycota, Chytridiomycetes, Cladochytriales, Cladochytriaceae.